GCCCCGACGGUGGCCCGCAAAAGGGCAGCACUUCCCUUGCUCUGGACUGGAAAGUGCUUCCCUUUUGUGUGUCACCGCCCGCCG
This 84-nucleotide microRNA precursor is filed under the name Oryctolagus cuniculus (rabbit). RNAcentral describes it as "microRNA ocu-mir-373 precursor". Its record names the gene ocu-mir-373. The stretch from base 10 to 75 matches the Rfam family "mir-290 microRNA precursor family". Lineage: Eukaryota; Metazoa; Chordata; Mammalia; Lagomorpha; Leporidae. The record is from miRBase by way of RNAcentral.